AACGAACGCUGGCGGCAUGCCUAACACAUGCAAGUCGAACGAGACCUUCGGGUCUAGUGGCGCACGGGUGCGUAACGCGUGGUAACCUGCCCUUAGGUUCGGAAUAACUCCCCGAAAGGGGUGCUAAUACCGGAUAAUGUCUUCGGACCAAAGAUUUAUCGCCUUUGGAUGGGCCCGCGUUGGAUUAGCUAGUUGGUAGGGUAUAAGCCUACCAAGGCGACGAUCCAUAGCUGGUCUGAGAGGAUGAUCAGCCACACUGGGACUGCGACACGGCCCAGACCCCGACGGGAGGCAGCAGUGGGGAAUAUUGGACACUGGGCGAAAGCCUGAUCCAGCAAUGCCGCGUGAGUGAUGAAGGCCUUAGGGUUGUAAAGCUCUUUUACCCGGGAUGAUAAUGACAGUACCGGGAGAAUAAGCUCCGGCUAACUCCGUG
This 433-nucleotide ribosomal RNA is filed under the name uncultured bacterium. RNAcentral's name for it is "partial 16S ribosomal RNA". It matches the Rfam family "Bacterial small subunit ribosomal RNA", at positions 29 to 507 of the family's 1533-position model. The record is from RNAcentral.